Rattus norvegicus (Norway rat) is the source of this 1943-nucleotide non-coding RNA. The record is from RefSeq and is a predicted model, not a curated record. Lineage: Eukaryota; Metazoa; Chordata; Mammalia; Rodentia; Muridae.
GUGAAGAGACAAUGACUGGUUACAGAUCGUCCACAGAAGGUCGGGAACCCGUCCAACACAAAGACCUGUGGGGGAUGACUUAAGAAAGCUCAGUCGUGACCACACGGGGAUGGCUGCAAAUGUUUUCUCAAUAAAACAGAAAUACAGACGGCAGAACUGGAGGGAAGAUGGGACGGGAGACUUGGCAGGCAUUCCGAUAAAGUCAGCCCUGACAGCUGGAGGAGUCAUAAAAGCCUGGACUCCUCUGUAGAGUCUAGGACACCAGACUUGAGAAGCUGGAACAAGUGUGGUCCUGUGAUUUCUCUGGAAACAGCUGGGACCAAUCUGUCCCAUUUGAAACCCUCACUCCGCUGCUCACAAGUCAUGGGACCUCGGGCAAGUUUCUUCACCUUCCUGACAGUUUUCUCUACUAACAAAGUCAUGGAAUCGCACGUGGACAUUAAGGAGGGCAGUGUGUGUGGGAUGCUCAGUGCAAGGGAUGGUCUACAGUGAGCAUCCAGCAAAGAGCUCUGAGCACGUCUGGAGCAGAUCCUAAUUUGCAAGGCUGGCAAAGGAACAGAGGUCUCUCCUGCCUACUGCCAGCCCCACCCACAGGAUCUCACUGGAGAGCUCCCUGCAGCUGCUCAGGGCAUUUACACCCUCUCAUCCCCGGCAGCAAGAGGAAAACCAUUAGGAAGCCAACAGUAUAAAAGGGGAAAGAUGAGUGGCUGGAGGAAAGGUGGGAACUGAUAGAGUCAAGCGCCUGUCUUCUCACAGGGUUGGUACACUUGGGGUGGAACCAGGAAGACAGGACCAGAGGUGAUCCUGGUUCACAUAUCCUUGGGACAUUGCAAUUUAGGGAGAAGUGCCUAUGAGCUGGUAACAGAAGGUUUGGUUUGCUUUUGUUAAGUUCAAUUUGUUUCCAAUUCUUUUUAUCUUGGCUCUAUCUCAGGCAUCACAGACGCCAGAGCUUUGCAGGCACAGGGUGGGGUAGGGUGGGGCGGGGUUGGGCAAUUCUUUCUUUUUGCUUAAAGGGACAGAACUAGGGAUGCCUCUUUGAAUGCCUGUGGCUUGCUCAAAUACCAUUAGUAAAUUAGUAAAGACGCUGAGCAGGGAAGGGUUCGUUCUCUUUGAAAGUGGCUUUCACAGAGGUGGCCACCAACAAAUCUAAGGACAGAAAGGAAGUUUGCAGAGAGAAAUUUGGACCUGUAAGAUGGUACUGACAUUAUUAUUUCAGCUAGCCAGAGCUAACCUUGAACUUCUAGACUUGCUAAGCUGAGUAUGAAGAAAUAAAUCCUGUUCGUUGGUUGUGGUGGAUGUUUUUAAUCCCAGCAUUCAGAGGCCGAGGCAGGCUGUUCUCUGCAAGUUCCAGGACAACCUUCGUCUACAGUAUGAGUUCUAGGACAGCCAGACCUAUACAAAGAAACCCUGCCUUGAAAACCAAUAAUAAAUAAAUAAUAUAAUAUAAAAGAGUGGAUCCCUUUAAAAACGGUCAUUGGUGUACAUGUGAAGCUCUUAGGAUCUCUCAAAUUUUGCCUGGAAAAAUAUUCUAUUGACUAUAGGGGCUGUCCAGGUUUGGGAGUCAAACACGCCCGGCUGGAGUCUCAGCUCCAUCAUCUACAGACUUGUGACUUUGGUCAACAUCUGCACCUUCCUGCGCCUCAGUUUCCCAUCUAUACUGUGAGCAUAGCCUCUGUCUCCCCAAGAGUUCCUUCAGCUGCUCCGGCAUCUCAACAGACGCUUCUGGUUUGUUCUUCCCCUCCCUACAACAGAGGACAUGUGCUUCAGCCAGCAGGGAACAAAGGAAAAAGUCCAGCCCUUCCUUGCAGCUUUGUGUGGAACAGGAGAUAGCUUCAAACACACAGGGCCCAGACAACUUAUGGCUCUUUCUCGUGUUUAUUUUUUUAAACAAAUCUUUCCAUAGCACUCACUGUGUAAUAAACACCUCCUGAGCACUGGACAAA